UCCGGGGUAGCUCAGUCGGUUAGAGCAUCUGACUGUUAAUCAGAGGGUCGUGGGUUCGAGUCCCACCCCCGGAG
Molecule: transfer RNA, 74 nt
Filed under: Bacillota bacterium
Lineage: Bacteria; Bacillati; Bacillota
Also listed under: 3 other names
Description: tRNA-Asn
Rfam family: tRNA
About the family: Transfer RNA (tRNA) molecules are approximately 80 nucleotides in length.
Source: RNAcentral